Molecule: small nuclear RNA, 105 nt
Organism: Pipistrellus kuhlii (Kuhl's pipistrelle)
Lineage: Eukaryota; Metazoa; Chordata; Mammalia; Chiroptera; Vespertilionidae
Source: RefSeq, a predicted model, not a curated record
UUAAGUGCUUGCUUUAGUAGUACUAUAGUUGGAAUGAUACAGAGAAGAUUAGCAUGGCCCCUGUGCUAGUAUGACACGCAAAUUUGUGAAGUGUUCCAUAUUUAA